GGGCGAAUGGUUUAGUGGUAUAAUACUCCCUUAGCAUGAUUCAUUCGAAUAAUCUGGGAGUGGUCCAGGGUUCGAUUCCCUGUUCGUCCA
Fusarium poae is the source of this 90-nucleotide non-coding RNA. The record is from Rfam. Lineage: Eukaryota; Fungi; Ascomycota; Sordariomycetes; Hypocreales; Nectriaceae.